RNAcentral lists this long non-coding RNA (704 nucleotides) under Homo sapiens (human). RNAcentral's name for it is "non-protein coding lnc-DHX37-9:13". Lineage: Eukaryota; Metazoa; Chordata; Mammalia; Primates; Hominidae. The record is from RNAcentral.
AUGCUGGGCUAAGACAAGGGGCAGAGGCAGAGAGAGAGAGAGGAGCCACCCUGAGAAGGAAGAGACCAGGUGGGCUCUGAGACAGGGAGACCCUUUCUACGUCGGUGCCUUGACAUGUGACUUUUUUGUCACUUCGUGCUCCAGGAUCACACCUGGAUGAACUAUCACUUUCAAAUGACCUUGUCUUUUCUCGGGCCUUCUGAACUGAUCAUCUCUUCCUUCUGAUACAAGAGGAUCUUCCCUGGAAGACCACUGCACACCUUCUAGUAACACUGCGACCCUGGGUUCAGGUAUCAUGGCCUUACAUGAUAUUCAUCUGAAGCAGGAUGAGACAGAGCAGGCAGAAAAGGAAACAUUUCUGACAAUGUUCUGUUAUGAAGAAUCCACCUUUCCUAGAAGCCCCAGCAAACCUCCCAUCGGACUCAUAGGUGCAAACUGGCUGAAAGGCUCAUUCCAAGACCAAGCACAGGUACAAGGGCCAAAACUGGCUAGAACAGGCAUGACUCACCUUUUCAGCUUCUCAGUCAUCUCCUCUCAAGGGCACAGGUCUGUUUGGUUGGUUUGUGAAUAAAACUGGGGGACUGUUAUUAUGGAAGAAGCAGUGAUAAGACCCUUUCCAUAAAGAGGAGAGACGUGAACUGGCAUAUAUCACCAGGACCACCUCCAAGUAAUUGACUAAUAAAUAAAAGCUCUAUUAGUAAGAA